UCAGUUCUAUGUGUGCUCUGUUAGCCU
This 27-nucleotide non-coding RNA is filed under the name Mus musculus (house mouse). The record is from RNAcentral. Lineage: Eukaryota; Metazoa; Chordata; Mammalia; Rodentia; Muridae.